RNAcentral lists this unclassified non-coding RNA (564 nucleotides) under Hevea brasiliensis (rubber tree). Lineage: Eukaryota; Viridiplantae; Streptophyta; Magnoliopsida; Malpighiales; Euphorbiaceae. The record is from RNAcentral.
AUAUCCCACCCAUUUUUCUGACAUUACCGGAGAGUAUCGCAUAACCGUUAAUUUGCUCCAUUGGAGUGCAGAUAAACAGAGGUCACUGAACGGGAUAUGUGUACAAGGUGGUAUGCGCCGGCUUUUCGAUGGCCGGAACUCGGAUUUUCACUGCCGACAUCAAUCUUUCGGUGGCCGGAGUUUGAUUUUUCGUAUUUCACAACGGGGUGGAGCCUACAGAGCUUCCGGUUGUUCGAUUUCUCCAUCGAUGAUGUGGUAUGGACUUUUGUUACGGUGUUGGAAUCCGUGGCUUUAGUUGCCAUGCUUUGCUACUUCUUUGUGUUCUGUGGUUGUACUCUCUGAUUGAAUCACCUUCUAUCUUUCGAUCAAUUCUUUUGUGAAUAUAUGUAUAGACCUUUAGCUGCUUAAUUUACCCGGACCUACAAUCCUCUGCUUCACAUGACUGGAGAGAUAAUUAGCUCUUUUUGAAUAAGAGAAGCUUAUAGAUUUUAUAUACUAUGAUAAAUUUUCAUGUUGUGAUGCUAAUUGCUUCGAUUAUGCUUUUUCUCCUUUUUUUUUUUUAAA